Erinaceus europaeus (western European hedgehog) is the source of this 2800-nucleotide long non-coding RNA. RefSeq lists it as uncharacterized. The record is from RefSeq and is a predicted model, not a curated record. Lineage: Eukaryota; Metazoa; Chordata; Mammalia; Eulipotyphla; Erinaceidae. The transcript has 2 exons.
CCUGGGACUUAGGAGUCUCAGGCAUGAGUCUGUUUGCAUAACCAUUAUGCUGUCUUCCCCGCCCAAAUGUCUUACUCUGGUAUGAUUCUAUACAUAAAUGUCCUUGCUUCUUUGAAAGCAGAAGGAGGAGGAGAAAGAUAAGGGGUCAAGAGAUAGCUCACCAGGUAGGGUGUCUGUCUUGCCUUGUCUAGUGGAUUUUUUUUUCAUUUUACACAAGUUCAUAAAGAUCUUUUUUUUUUUUGGCUCCCCAAAAUAAACCCAGGGUCCUGAAUCACCUCCCUGAUCCAGUUUUUCUUCUCUUUAGCUUAUUGAGAGAAGGUGAAAUAGAUACACACACAGGGGGACAAGCAAGGGGGAGAUAGAAGAGACACCACACAACACAGGUCCAUUAUCCCAAGAGUUCCCUUCCCCCCACUCCAAGCUGUCCAUGGUGCUACAUCCCCAACUGAGAUGGAGAUGUCUUACUGCUGAGAAUAUGGACAUAUUUGUAGCCAUCUCAGGACAUGGCUUGGAAGGAUGGUGCAUGAAGCAUGGUGAGACACUGGUAUUCUGGAAGCAAUAUUCAGCAACAGCCAAGGGAUUCCUUGAGUGACCCAGACCUUCCAAGACAAUAGUGAAGGAGGGUAGUAGUGGAGAGGACAUGAUUGAAAUACAUCCCAGUGACUAACCAGUGAGCCUUUUGAUUAGGAAACUGAUUAAAGUGCAGCCUGAAAGACUGAGGAUCUUAGAAACCCCCCAAGAAGAGCCCCUGAGCUUGAGUGGAUAUGUUCUUGCCUUAGUCAUCUAAGUUUGCCAUAAGAGGUCUCAAAAAGCAGAGCAACUGCAUUUUCCAUGACAGGAGAAGCUGUAUUAUGUGUCUGUAUUUGUCUGUCUCUAUGAUAUAUGUGCUCUUUAUUAGAUCUAGACAUAGAUGCAGGUGUAGGUAUAGAUAAAGUACUCUAUAGUUACAAAUGAGAAGGGGCAUAUGAAAUGAGACUCUUCGUCAGGAGAAGGCAAUGUAUUUGGUCUCCUCCGGACAAUGAGACCUGUGUGUGGUGUUCCUCUUAAAAAAUGGAGGUGAGCAUUCAUUUUGGUUCUAGGAGUCUGGAAGCCAUCUCUGUGCCUUGUAUUAAUUAAGAAUGCAAAGAUUCCCUGCAUUUAAAAUGUUAAGUAUGUAUCUUCAUACAUGUGUGAAGAUACACACACACACACACACACACACACACACACACAUACAAUGUGUUUCCAAGGCAUCAAAGCAGCUGGGAAGAAGGCACAUCAAUCUUUCUUUCCUGAUCUAAAAGAUAUGAGUGUUUGCAAACUGUCAGCUAUAGUGUCCAAACAGGCAGCCAUUAUUUAAAUUUCCUUUCUCUUUGAAGGACUAUAUUAUGAUGAAAUCAAUGGAGUCCAUCUUAUUCCUUUAUAAAUAAAAGACUCCUCUAUCCUUGUGAUUAAAUAUGAAAUAGAUCAUAAAAACCACAUGUAAACAUGCACUUUUUUGCAUUUACCUUUUUUGCUGUUCUACCAUUUUUCCUUAUUCAUUCUUAAACUCUCCAGAUGAUAAAAUUUCAGCAUUUUGACAAAAUAUAGUCACUCAGUAGUGAUAAACAGAUGUGUGAGAAUCAUGAAAAUGGGUAAAUAAUGAAGAAAAUUCAGGCACUGAAUGAGGAAAAAAAGUAAAAAAUGCCACCUCAGUGGCUUAAUUAUUUAGCUAUUUUUUCUUGGAUCUCUGCUUAAAAUUACAUUAUUUUGUCCUAAAAUACUUCACUUUCCCUAAAUGUGUUUUUUACCACAAGAAUAAAAUCUUCUAGAAAUAUGUAUAGAAACUUUUCUCCUGGAUUGCUUUACUAUUUUACUGCUGACUCCAGGAGGAAGACCACUGAUCGGCCUGCAAAUGCCAAAGAGAAAUGCAAGGGACGAUCCUUAAAUUAAAGAUGAGAUGAAUAGCUAGUUUCUCUGCCCAUAAACCUAAUCUCUAGAAACCAAUUCAAUUAAGUUCUGAAGACCUAAGCAUAAAUUAGAACAGACCCAGGGAAUCCCUCCCAGGUUAUAUGAUUCCUGAAUUAUAAAGUUCCCAAUCUUUACGUUUAAAGAGACAUUGGAGACCCACACUGGAUCUGAAUUCAGUCAUAGACUAUAGUUUCUAAGUUCUUCAAAGCUGUAAGCAUCUCUGGAAGUACCUCUUCUAUAGAUGUAGGUCCCCAGGAUGAUUCAGGUGGGAGCUUGGCAAACACUUUAAGGUUACAGUGACUUAAGGUUUGGACUUGCUCUCAAGAGACAUGGAUUUGAAUUUGACCCUGGUUAUACCUGAGACUCUAGACAAUUUCUCAACCUGCCAGUUUUUUCAGGCACUGUGAAGCUGGUGGUGGCUGCUGAUCACAGCUGGAUCAAGCUUCCCUCCAGUAGUCCUUAAACCAAAGCAGAUGGGAGAAGCCCCAGGGCUGGAGAGGGGGCAAACUUGGCUUCUCCAUACCUCACUUUUUGUGGGUCUAAGAUUCUAUGCUCUAAAACAAACUUAUGGUUUAAGAUAUUUCUGGAAAUAUUAAGAGAUUUCCUAAUGUGACUGUGUGUUUAAUCAUUUUAAGCAAUUUUUUGAUAGACCAAAGUGCUAGAGAAAAGGAAGCAGAAGCCUUGGAAGGUUGUUUAUAAGACAUAUAAACCUUGGUCUCAGGUAUAUGCCAUGCAACAUAUACUUAUAUGAUGUUUGGAAAUCAUAAAAUAGAACCUAGUAAAAUGCCUCAAAUAUUUCAUAAAUGUCUUAUAAAUAUGUGUUGAAUGGGGAAAAAUAAAUGCCUUGAAGGGGACUUGUUUACACUUUCAA